CGCGGCCUAUCAGCUUGUUGGUGAGGUAACGGCCCACCAAGGCGACGACGGGUAGCCGGCCUGAGAGGGUGACCGGCCACACUGGGACUGAGACACGGCCCAGACUCCUACGGGAGGCAGCAGUGGGGAAUAUUGCACAAUGGGCGCAAGCCUGAUGCAGCAACGCCGCGUGAGGGACGACGGCCUUCGGGUUGUAAACCUCUUUUAGCAGGGAAGAAGCGAAAGUGACGGUACCUGCAGAAAAAGCACCGGCUAACUACGUGCCAGCAGCCGCGGUAAUACGUAGGGUGCAAGCGUUGUCCGGAAUUAUUGGGCGUAAAGAGCGCGUAGGCGGUUUGUCGCGUCUGCUGUGAAAAUCCGAGGCUCAACCUCGGACCUGCAGUGGGUACGGGCAAACUAGAGUGCGGUAGGGGAGUUUGGAAUUCCUGGUGUAGCGGUGGAAUGCGCAGAUAUCAGGAGGAACACCAAUGGCGAAGGCACAUCUCUGGGCCGUAACUGACGCUGAGGAGCGAAAGCGUGGGGAGCGAACAGGAUUAGAUACCCUGGUAGUCCACGCCGUAAACGGUGGGUGCUAGCUGUG
RNAcentral lists this ribosomal RNA (580 nucleotides) under uncultured Actinomycetes bacterium. RNAcentral describes it as "bacterial SSU rRNA". It matches the Rfam family "Bacterial small subunit ribosomal RNA", at positions 232 to 824 of the family's 1533-position model. The record is from RNAcentral. Lineage: Bacteria; Bacillati; Actinomycetota; Actinomycetes.